This 470-nucleotide ribosomal RNA is filed under the name uncultured bacterium. Its description in RNAcentral is "bacterial SSU rRNA". It matches the Rfam family "Bacterial small subunit ribosomal RNA", at positions 329 to 795 of the family's 1533-position model. The record is from RNAcentral.
UUCCAGACUCCUACGGGAGGCAGCAGUGAGGAAUAUUGGUCAAUGGGCGGAAGCCUGAACCAGCCAAGUCGCGUGAGGGAAGAAGGCCCUGCGGGUCGCAGACCUCUUUGGACGGGGAGCAAGGCCGCCGACGUGUCGGCGGAAGGAGAGUACCCGUAGAACAAGCAUCGGCUAACUCCGUGCCAGCAGCCGCGGUAAUACGUAGGGGGCGAGCGUUAUCCGGAUUCACUGGGUGUAAAGGGAGCGUAGACGGCCAGGCAAGCCAGGGGUGGAAGCCCGGGGCCCAACCCCGGGACUGCCCUUGGAACUGUGCGGCUAGAGUGCGGGAGGGGCAGGCGGAAUUCCUGGUGUAGCGGUGAAAUGCGUAGAUAUCAGGAGGAACACCGGCGGCGAAGGCGACCUGCUGGACCGCGACUGACGUUGAGGCUCGAAAGCGUGGGGAGCGAACAGGAUUAGAUACCCUAGUAAAC